AUACGGAGGGUGCGAGCGUUACGCGGAGUCACUGGGCGUAAAGCGUCCGUAGGCGGUCGGGUAAGUCGGGUGUGAAAGCCCCGGGCUCAACCUGGGAAGUGCACCCGAUACUGCUCGACUCGAGUGCGGGAGAGGAUGGCGGAAUUCCCGGUGUAGCGGUGAAAUGCGUAGAGAUCGGGAGGAACACCAGUGGCGAAGGCGGCCAUCUGGCCCGCAACUGACGCUGAGGGACGAAGGCGUGGGGAGCAAACAGGAUUAGAAACCCUAGUAGUCC
RNAcentral lists this ribosomal RNA (274 nucleotides) under uncultured bacterium. RNAcentral's name for it is "partial 16S ribosomal RNA". It matches the Rfam family "Bacterial small subunit ribosomal RNA", at positions 523 to 796 of the family's 1533-position model. The record is from RNAcentral.